AUGGCGACCGGCGCACGGGUGAGUAACACGUAUCCAACCUGCCAAUAACUCGGGGAUAGCCAUUCGAAAGAAAGAUUAAUACCCGAUGGUAUAAUCAGACCGCAUGGUUUGAUUAUUAAAGAAUUUCGGUUAUCGAUGGGGAUGCGUUCCAUUAGGCAGUUGGUGAGGUAACGGCUCACCAAACCUUCGAUGGAUAGGGGUUCUGAGAGGAAGGUCCCCCACAUUGGAACUGAGACACGGUCCAA
This 245-nucleotide ribosomal RNA is filed under the name uncultured bacterium. RNAcentral describes it as "partial 16S ribosomal RNA". It matches the Rfam family "Bacterial small subunit ribosomal RNA", at positions 88 to 334 of the family's 1533-position model. The record is from RNAcentral.